GUCGACACAGGUUCGUUGGUAGAGGGUUCUUAGGUGUAGAGAUAAUAGGGGUAAAGGAACUCGGCAAGUUGUCUUCAUGGCUUAGUAGCGCUGAAGAUCCAAUUUUAGGGUUUUUUCUUAGGUAAGGGGGUUAAAGGGUGGCGCAGAAUCGGAGGCCCCGACUGUUUACUUAAAACACAGACAUUUGCAAGGAUUAAUUUGGGGGUAUAGGUGUUGAAUUUUGCCCGAUGCCAUUAAUAUAAGGUUAAUAGGCGCUGGGCAUCUUUAUUUUCGAAGCCCCGGGUCACGGCCGCUGUUAUCAUAACGAUCCUAAGGUAGCAAAAUUCCUUGUCCGGUAAGUUCCGACCCGCACGAAAGGCGUAACGAUCUGGGCACUGUCUCGGAGAGAGGCUCGGUGAAAUAGACAUGUCUGGAAGAUGCUGCGCCUGCGUUCC
RNAcentral lists this ribosomal RNA (434 nucleotides) under uncultured Tulasnellaceae. RNAcentral describes it as "LSU rRNA". It matches the Rfam family "Bacterial large subunit ribosomal RNA", at positions 1649 to 2078 of the family's 2925-position model. The record is from RNAcentral. Lineage: Eukaryota; Fungi; Basidiomycota; Agaricomycetes; Cantharellales; Tulasnellaceae.